RNAcentral lists this long non-coding RNA (436 nucleotides) under Chrysolophus pictus (golden pheasant). Its description in RNAcentral is "lncRNA (ENSCPIG00010010385.1)". Lineage: Eukaryota; Metazoa; Chordata; Aves; Galliformes; Phasianidae. The record is from RNAcentral.
UGAGAUUUCAAAGGACUACUGCCAUUCUUACACUGACUGUAUAGUUUUAAAUCUCUUUUCUUAUCUUCUUCAGGUUGGAUAUUAGGAAAAGCUUAUUCUCCAAAAGAGUGGUAAUGCAUUGGCACAGGCUGCCCAGGGAGGUGGUGGCCAUCCCUGGAGCUGUUGAAGAACUGUGGAGAUGUGGCAAGGAAUGAGCAGUAUUCCUGGACACAAAAAGGGAGAAUAAUCAACUUUCAGGCUGUAUGUUACAAAUUCACUUUUGUGAUUUUAGUGGUGCCUGUGACAAGAAAUGAAAUGCGGGAAAGGGAGCUGGCUCCAGAAGGAGUGCCUGGCUAUUUUUCCAGUCAAUAUCUAGUGUGCUGCACAGCAUCCAGGAGAAUUUGCAGGUGAGAAUCCAUAUAUCCUGAAAUAAAACAGGAUUUUUUUUUUUUUACCA